Oncorhynchus keta (chum salmon) is the source of this 590-nucleotide long non-coding RNA. RefSeq lists it as uncharacterized. NCBI's taxonomy places the organism in Eukaryota, Metazoa, Chordata, Actinopteri, Salmoniformes, Salmonidae. The record is from RefSeq and is a predicted model, not a curated record. The transcript is spliced from 3 exons.
ACUACACUACACACUUAAGAGUAUACUCAGUUCCUCAUAGUGGAUGUACAUUUUUAAGGCACAAACCAUGAGGGAAGGCUUUGUAGGGCAUGUCUACCAUUAGUCGGACUCAAAUAACUCCUCCUUGGGACAUAGACAGGGGUCAUGAAGUGAAAACAUCUGUAUGUCCCCACGUCAACCCCAGAUGAAUGUUCUAAUAUCCCAGCCCUAAAUAGGGGCGCUAGGACUAUUUUUAAGAUGCCUGGGUUAUUUUCCCUUCUAUAUUUUGUUGGUAAGGUCAGCCUGGGUUACUUUCCCUUCUAUAUUUUGUUGGUAAGGUCAGCCUGGGUUACUUUCCCUUCUAUAUUUUGUUGGUAAGGUCAGCCUGGGUUACUUUCCCUUCUAUAAUUUGUUGGUAAGGUCAGCCUGGGUUACUUUCCCUUCUAUAUUUUGUUGGUAAGGUCAGCCCAAUUCCCACUUGGGUCCCGUGAGAUCCUACCGUACAGCCAUUUCAGUAGCCGUUGAAGACUUAAAACAUGUCUUCUGUGGAGAAAAGCAAACCGAGCCAUGUUUCACACCAUCUAUCCAACUCCCGCUGUUAGUCACCGUCG